Molecule: ribosomal RNA, 464 nt
Filed under: uncultured bacterium
Lineage: Bacteria
Description: bacterial SSU rRNA
Rfam family: Bacterial small subunit ribosomal RNA
Source: RNAcentral
GACGAACGCUGGCGGCGUGCCUAACACAUGCAAGUCGAGCGAGGAGAGUUCCUUCGGGAACAAACCUAGCGGCGGACGGGUGAGUAACACGUGGGCAACCUGCCUUGUAGAGGGGAAUAGCCUUCCGAAAGGAAGAUUAAUACCGCAUAACAUUACAGUUUCGCAUGAAACAGUAAUUAAAGGAGCAAUCCGCUACAAGAUAGGCCCGCGGCGCAUUAGCUAGUUGGUGAGGUAACGGCUCACCAAGGCGACGAUGCGUAGCCGACCUGAGAGGGUGAUCGGCCACAUUGGGACUGAGACACGGCCCAGACUCCUACAGGAGGCAGCAGUGGGGAAUAUUGCACAAUGGGGGAAACCCUGAUGCAGCAACGCCGCGUGAGUGAUGAAGGUUUUCGGAUCGUAAAGCUCUGUCUUCGGGGACGAUAAUGACGGUACCCGAGGAGGAAGCACCGGCUAACUCCGUG